UACGUAGGGGGCUAGCGUUGUCCGGAAUCAUUGGGCGUAAAGAGCGUGUAGGCGGUCCGGUAAGUCCGCUGUGAAAGUCGGGGGCUCAACCCUCGAAUGCCGGUGGAUACUGUCGGGCUAGAGUACGGAAGAGGCGAGUGGAAUUCCUGGUGUAGCGGUGAAAUGCGCAGAUAUCAGGAGGAACACCUAUUGCGAAGGCAGCUCGCUGGGACGUAACUGACGCUAAGGCGCGAAAGCGUGGGGAGCGAACAGG
This 253-nucleotide ribosomal RNA is filed under the name uncultured bacterium. Its description in RNAcentral is "partial 16S ribosomal RNA". It matches the Rfam family "Bacterial small subunit ribosomal RNA", at positions 524 to 776 of the family's 1533-position model. The record is from RNAcentral.